AGCGAACGCUAGCGGCGUGGUUAAGACAUGCAAGUCGAGCGAGGUUCUCUUCGGAGAGCUUAGCGGCAAACGGGUGCGUAACACGUGAGUAACCUGCCUUUAAGUGGGGGAUAGCUUGGUGAAAAUCAGGUAAUACCGCAUAAUAUCUUUUAUUGCAUAAUAAAAGUAUUAAAACUUGAAAUGGUGCUUAAAGAGGGGCUCGCGACCUAUCAGCUUGUUGGUAAGGUAACGGCUUACCAAGGCAAAGACGGGUAACCGGUCUGAGAGGAUGACCGGUCACACUGGAACUGAGAUACGGUCCAGACACCUAUAGGUGGCAGCAGUCUCGAAUCAUUCACAAUGGGCGAAAGCCUGAUGGUGCGACGUCGCGUGAGGGAUGAAGGUCUUCGGAUUGUAAACCUCUGUCACCAGGAAGUAAAGAUUAAGUUCAUAGCUUAAUUUGAAUUAAACUGGAGAGGAAGCAGUGGCUAACUCCGUG
RNAcentral lists this ribosomal RNA (478 nucleotides) under uncultured organism. Its description in RNAcentral is "bacterial SSU rRNA". It matches the Rfam family "Bacterial small subunit ribosomal RNA", at positions 29 to 507 of the family's 1533-position model. The record is from RNAcentral.